CCGGGGAGCCGGGCGACCGCGUCAUUGCACUUGCAAUGCCGAGGAAAGUCCGGGCUCCACGAAACGAGGGCGGCGGGUAACGCCCGCCGGGGCAGUAACGCUUGCGCUGCUGCUUCAGGGAAAGUGCCACAGAGAGCAGACCGCCGAUGGCUCGCGCUCUUUUCGGAGAGUCGUGAGCACAGGCAAGGGUGAAAGGGUGCGGCAAGAGCGCACCGGGGCGCUGGCAACAGCGCCUGCAUGGCAAACCCCGCCCGGAGCAAGACCGAAUAGGGGCGGCGAGCCCUGGCGCAAGCCGGGGCAGGCGGGUUUCGCGCCGAGCCGUCCGGGUUGGUCGCUGGAGCGGUGCAGCAAUGCAUCGCCGAGAGGAAUGGUCGCCAUCCCGGCGCCGGUCCGCCUUGCGGAUACCGGCCGGGAUACAGAACCCGGCUUACAGGCUCCCCGGCACU
RNAcentral lists this RNase P RNA (446 nucleotides) under Novosphingobium sp. Its description in RNAcentral is "RNase P RNA component class A". It matches the Rfam family "Bacterial RNase P class A". From Rfam's summary of the family: Ribonuclease P (RNase P) is a ubiquitous endoribonuclease, found in archaea, bacteria and eukarya as well as chloroplasts and mitochondria. Its best characterised activity is the generation of mature 5'-ends of tRNAs by cleaving the 5'-leader elements of precursor-tRNAs. Cellular RNase Ps are ribonucleoproteins. The record is from RNAcentral. Lineage: Bacteria; Pseudomonadati; Pseudomonadota; Alphaproteobacteria; Sphingomonadales; Sphingomonadaceae.